GGGUGAUAAAAUUCCAGUGGGUACUUACAUUUCCAAGUGGGAUAGCAAUGUGAGCACAUAUUGUUUAUGUUGUAUAGUUUCUGCUCCUGAAACCAUACAACAUCUCUUCUUAACAGGUGAUAUAGCGAGAAGCGUAUGGACCUAUUUUACAAAUGUUGUUGGACUUCAUGGUCCUUGGAUCCAAAUAAAGCAAUAAAUACAUAAC
This 205-nucleotide long non-coding RNA is filed under the name Solanum tuberosum (potato). Its description in RNAcentral is "long non-coding RNA (STUB_LNC007982)". The record is from RNAcentral. Lineage: Eukaryota; Viridiplantae; Streptophyta; Magnoliopsida; Solanales; Solanaceae.